CACUUAAAUGUAGAAAAAAAAAAAAAUUGAAACAAAAUGCAGAGAGAUCAGCAAAUAAAAAGGGCACACAGUUUUACUACUAUACUCCCCUGAGUCCUUGAGCAC
This is a long non-coding RNA of Sapajus apella (tufted capuchin), 105 nucleotides long. RefSeq lists it as uncharacterized. The record is from RefSeq and is a predicted model, not a curated record. The transcript has 3 exons. Lineage: Eukaryota; Metazoa; Chordata; Mammalia; Primates; Cebidae.